This is a small nucleolar RNA of Mastomys coucha (southern multimammate mouse), 144 nucleotides long. RefSeq annotates it as small nucleolar RNA SNORA15. The transcript has a single exon. The record is from RefSeq and is a predicted model, not a curated record. Lineage: Eukaryota; Metazoa; Chordata; Mammalia; Rodentia; Muridae.
ACAUUUGUAACUCUUGUAUCAAUUACCACAGUAAGAGUCAAGAUUUUUUUACACAGCCAGACAACAUGCAAAAGUAAAGUCCUCCUUUAAGAUGGCUGAUAUGCUAUAUUUUAUGAUAUAUCAUUAUUAAAAGUGAGUACAAAA